AUUAGAGUUUGAUCCUGGCUCAGAUUGAACGCUGGUGGCGUGCCUUACACAUGCAAGUCGAACGGCAGCAUGAUCUGGCUUGCUAGAUUGAUGGCGAGUGGCGAACGGGUGAGUAAUACAUCGGAACGUGCCCUGUAGUGGGGGAUAACUAGUCGAAAGAUUAGCUAAUACCGCAUACGACCUGAGGGUGAAAGUGGGGGACCGCAAGGCCUCGUGCUAUAGGAGCGGCCGAUGUCUGAUUAGCUAGUUGGUGAGGUAAAGGCUCACCAAGGCGACGAUCAGUAGCUGGUCUGAGAGGACGAUCAGCCACACUGGGACUGAGACACGGCCCAGACUCCUACGGGAGGCAGCAGUGGGGAAUUUUGGACAAUGGGCGAAAGCCUGAUCCAGCAAUGCCGCGUGUGUGAAGAAGGCCUUCGGGUUGUAAAGCACUUUUGUCCGGAAAGAAAUGGCUCUGGUUAAUACCUGGGGUCGAUGACGGUACCGGAAGAAUAAGGACCGGCUAACUACGUGCCAGCAGCCGCGGUAAU
This 530-nucleotide ribosomal RNA is filed under the name uncultured bacterium. RNAcentral's name for it is "bacterial SSU rRNA". It matches the Rfam family "Bacterial small subunit ribosomal RNA", at positions 1 to 524 of the family's 1533-position model. The record is from RNAcentral.